CCUACGGGAGGCAGCAGUGGGGAAUAUUGCGCAAUGGACGAAAGUCUGACGCAGCGACGCCGCGUGAGGGAAGAAGGCCUUUGGGUCGUAAAGCUCUGUCCUAAGGGAAGAAGGAAGUGACGGUACCUUAGGAGGAAGCCCCGGCUAACUACGUGCCAGCAGCCGCGGUAAUACGUAGGGGGCAAGCGUUAUCCGGAAUUAUUGGGCGUAAAGAGUACGUAGGCGGUUCUUUAAGCGCAGGGUUUAAGGCGAUAGCUUAACUAUCGUUCGCCCUGUGAACUGGGGGACUUGAGUAUCGGAGAGGG
This 305-nucleotide ribosomal RNA is filed under the name uncultured bacterium. Its description in RNAcentral is "bacterial SSU rRNA". It matches the Rfam family "Bacterial small subunit ribosomal RNA", at positions 338 to 658 of the family's 1533-position model. The record is from RNAcentral.